This is a non-coding RNA of Oryctolagus cuniculus (rabbit), 3386 nucleotides long. NCBI's taxonomy places the organism in Eukaryota, Metazoa, Chordata, Mammalia, Lagomorpha, Leporidae. The record is from RefSeq and is a predicted model, not a curated record.
CAGCGACGGGGGCCGCGCUCGCUUCCGGGUCCGGGUCCGGGUCCGGUGUCGGGUUCUGAGGUCGCUCCCUCACGGCUACUUGUGUUGCUGGUCACGGCCCCUAGUAGCCGCAGUGGGCUGCUCUGGGCUACAGAGCGUCGAGGUGGGUGGGACUAGGUGCCGGAGUGAGCCAGGGGCGUUUUCAGGGAGGCAAAGGGGGAGACGGCUUCUAAGGGUACAAUGAGGUAAACACAAGUUGUUUUGACAUCAGGAGGACACUGAAGUGCGUUAGGGAGUCCGUGCGGCGGGCCGGCGUCCUUGUAACUUACCUCGACAGUGCCGGGCAGAAGUCCCUUUUGCGUCAGGUUGUGGUGGCCUGGUGAGGUUGAGGCGGUAGGCAACGGUGCCCGAGACCCUCCCUCACACGCGAGCGCCCCUCCCCCGAUUCCGACAGCCUUCCUACUGCUUUCGUGACAGGAAACAGCUCGCCAAGCACCUGGAAGCCCCUUUCCGAGUUCCCUCCAGCGCACAGGCUGUGGGAGGACAGUCUGCAUUGGCCCGAGGCUCGGUGACCUCAACGUGCGUCUCCACAACCUAUGUGGACCCAGUGGCUGGAAUUCUAGCAGUCAUUAAGAACAUGAGGAUGCAGAUCUCUCCAUGAAGACCAAAGGAUCCAAGGUUCCUGAUGACAUCAUAGAACUGCCAUACUGGCCUUGGGGUACUGCCUCUUUGAAGUCACUGUUUGGUGGUGUUUCUCUGAUGAGGUGUUCAUAGGAAAACACAGUUCCUAAGCAGGACACAAACACUGACCUUGAGGAGCUCAGAGUGUGGAGAGAAGAAAUAUGCAAAGAUAAAGUGAGCAUUUUAGAGAACUCAGAGAGUUUGUUAAUGAAAGAAAAACCCUUCUGGAAGUGGAAGAAGGAAAGUAGCAGUGUCUGUGCAGGCUAAGAUGCUGGUGAAUAAACUCCACGGCUAUUGAAGUGGGCCUUCCCGGCUGUCCUUGGAACCUGGGAUGCCGAUUGCCUCCUUGAGCAAAGAACCUCUGGUAAUGGGAACACAAAAUAAAAAUUUUCUGUUUGGACAAAUUCCACAUAUACAAUUGUAUUCAGGUUUCCUAUAUUUCUUCAGUCUUUAAAGUGUAAAAGCGUUGCUUAAUAUCUCUUUCUGAACUAAUGUUUCAAGAUAGGUCAUGAUUUCUCCCCAAGGCAGUGAUCAUAAGCUAAUCUUCGUUGGAAAGCAUCCAAGUAUAUAAUCUCAGUAAUGCUACUCUUAUCUUAGUUAUUGUGAGUAAAUCAUUGGCAGUGAAUGUAUUUUUUUUUUUUUUUGACAAUGUGAAAACACGCCCUUUCCUGGCGCAGGUUCUGUGCCCGUGUUUCUUCCGCCUGCUGUAGUACUGGGCUUUGACUCCAAGCAGCUGGGUUGCUCGGGGCUGCAGUUACCCAAUGUCUCCUGCAAUUAUGACCGGCCUCCUUCCUCUCUGUGCGAGCCUGCUACUGAUGUCUGGCGUUGGCGAGGCAGGCAAGCUGCUGGUGGUUCCCAUGGAUGGGAGCCACUGGUUUACCAUGCGCUUGGUCGUGGAGAAACUCAUCCAGAGAGGGCACGAGUUGGUCGUAGUCAUGCCAGAGGUGAGUUGGCAACUGGGACAAUCGCUGAAUUGUACAGUGAAGACCUACGCGACGUCUUACACUCUGGAAGAUAUGGAUCGUGAACUCUUGGCUUUUGCCAAAACUCAGUGGAAAAUUCGGGAAGACAGCAUACUUUCCCUUAGCAAGGGUUCAGCCUACAAUCUUUUUGAAAUAUUUUUUUCACAUUGUAGGAGUUUGUUUAAUGACAAGAAAUUAGUGGAAUACUUAAAAGAAAAUUCUUUUGAUGCAGUGUUUCUAGAUCCCUUUGAUAUGUGUGGCUUAAUUGUUGCCAAAUAUUUUUCACUCCCUUCCGUGGUGUUCACCAGGGGAGUAUUUUGCCAUUAUCUGGAGGAGGCUACACAGUGCUCCUAUCCUCCUUCAUACGUUCCCAGAAAUUUCUUAAGCUUCUCAGAUACAAUGACCUUCAAGGAAAGAAUUUGGAACCAUCUCAGUUACUUUCAGGAACGUUUACUUUGCUCCUAUUUUUUCAAAAGUGUCUUAGAAAUUGCUUCUGAAGUUCUCCCAAAGCCUGUCACGCUAUAUGAUCUCUUCAGCCACACAUCGAUUUGGUUGUUACGGACUGACUUUGUUUUGGAACAUCCCAAACCUCUGAUGCCCAACAUGGUCUACAUUGGUGGCAUCAACUGCCAGCAGGGGAAACCUUUGUUGAAGGUAGGUUCUUUCUCCUUUAGCAUGCAAAGAAUAAUAUGUUUUUGGAAAUAUUUUUAAAAAGACUCCUGUUCAACUCUGAUUUGUGAUUAACUGUCAUUGUUUCUAGUUUAACAAAUGAUCUUGUGCCAGCUCCUUGUUUUGGGGCAUUAGCAAAGGUUGCAAGGCUUUCCUCAUUGAGAUGUACAUGUAUGCACUUGACCUCACUGUAUGUUCUUUGCAAGCUGCAUUUUUUAAAUACUGCUUUUGGAAAAAUAGUGAAAAACAUAGUGUGAAACCCAGUGUCCUUUUUUGCUUAUCCUAAGACAUAUCUUAGAAAAUUCUAUUAGUAGUUUUGUAUGCAUCUGUUUACAGUAUAUAUGUGUAUCUGUAAUGUACAUUUUUAUACUUGUUUAAUUAAAAUAAAAUCUGAUAUCAGGAUGGACAUACUGGACUGUAUCAUGCAAUUUUCACUUGCCAAUCAAUCGUAGCCAUCUUCAUAGGUCAAAGCAUAAAAUUUUGUAUGGUUUUGUAAGACUGCAAGAAAGUCUUUAGAUGAACUUUAGUUUUUUCAAGCAGUCAAUAGUAAUACAUUUUUAAGCUUUUCUCCUUUCUGCUGUUAUGUGCAAAACUGCACUAAACAUUCUUAAGUACUUCCUGGUGCUGAGAAAUUUCAGUGUUCUUGCUUUUUAAUCAGUAGACAUUAGCCUGAGCAGUAGGGUCACAGGGUCUAUGCACAUAUCACAUUGUAAUGAAUUUGAGAGUGUGCUUUCCUGAUGUUGAAAAGCCUCACCUUUCAUCUAUAAGGACUGUAGCUUUUGGUACCCUUAGAUUUCUGGGCAAAAAGAUUGUGUGUAGCUGCUUCAGUUUUUACUUCCUAUUUUCAUAGGUAUCGGUUACUUAUAUUUCCUGUUUUGAGAAUGACAUAGGCAUAUUGUUCAAUAGUUGUUAAAAAUUAUACAUUUUAUUUAUGCACUUUACAUUUAUUUACACUUGUUAUUUAUUCAUGUAUAAAUACAAAAUAUUUAAUAAGUGUCACAAUAAAAUAGAAAUACACAUAGCCUGUAGCAAAUCUUUUUUUCCAUUUUUUAAAUUGGUAUAAUGUGAACAAAUUUCAUGUAUUUCUUUUUUUUU